RNAcentral lists this unclassified non-coding RNA (365 nucleotides) under Famatinanthus decussatus. RNAcentral's name for it is "partial miscellaneous RNA". The record is from RNAcentral. Lineage: Eukaryota; Viridiplantae; Streptophyta; Magnoliopsida; Asterales; Asteraceae.
CAGCAACGUCCACCCGUUCAUACCUCUUCAUUUGUGCGGCAAGGUUGGUUUUGCCUUGAGCAUUCUUUGGGUUUCCUGUGUUGCAUACCUACUCAAUGGUAUUGUUUAGUUCUACCGAAGUCCCUUUUCAUCAUGCGUCCCUCACGUGGCGUGAGGUGAACCUCGAAGCGAUCUCUGUGUUCCAUCUCGUUGAUGCAUAUGCAUCGGUGAAAUGGCCCAUUGAGCAUUGCUUGGUUUCUUGGAUACAGAACCUUAUGUGGGUAUGGGGUUUUAUACGACCCUGUGUUUGCCCUUAUAAGCGUUCUCGCUUCUCUAAAACGACUGUCGGUCUCGUGUUGGCCGUUCGUACGCCGACGACGUCGAAG